AGUAGUGUCAUGAUACGUACAACACACCAGAAAAUGAACAAUCAGUGCCUCAUAUUAAGGUCAUUUCAUUGCUGUUGCUCAUAGUAUAUCUAACCCCAUCACAGGCACAACAAAACUUUAGUAAGUUCUUAUUCACUCAAAGUUCUAAAUCACUUUGAUACCAAAAGGGAAAAACUUUGGGCACAGUAAGUAAUUUAAAUCUUAAAAAAUGCCGUGUCAACACUAACUAGAGAAGCUGCAGGCAGAAGCAGACUUCAAUAAAUUACUUCAAUUGAAAUUCUAGAGCAAACCAUGCUAGCUCUAGAGCCACCACAGACACUGUUGAGGCUCAACAUCCAGCACAUACUAAUUUGUACAUUAAAUGGAAAUUCUUCUUCCUUUUCAAUUGAAUUAAGAAUUUGACAUUGAGAAAGAACUCUUGCCAUCAUAAUAAAUAUGUCAAAUGAAACUAAAGCAACGUAUUUAACUCUCUAAAAGAACACCAAUCAAACAAUAAUGCAUAAUCUUGACAAAGAAUAAGAAGCCAUCCACAUUACCAAAACACUAAUUAAUUACCUCUCAUUAACCAUCAUAAAAAAAUGAAAUAAAAUAAAUAUACGGACACAAAAGAAGAUUGAAGAGCCUGUACAAAUGCAUCAGAUCUGAUGAUUCUUAUUUUGACAGCAUCAUCAUUCUCCAGAAAGGAGUGGCUGAUUGUUGGUCUUGUUUAUCAUCACUUGCAAUAUAAGCUCUAACAAAUUGAAAAAAAAAAAAUUCAAUUCUUUAACUAUCCCAAACUUGCUAGGGGGGAGAAA
Molecule: long non-coding RNA, 794 nt
Organism: Populus euphratica (Euphrates poplar)
Lineage: Eukaryota; Viridiplantae; Streptophyta; Magnoliopsida; Malpighiales; Salicaceae
Exons: 2
Source: RefSeq, a predicted model, not a curated record